AGAGUUUGAUCCUGGCUCAGGAUGAACGCUAGCGGCAGGCCUAACACAUGCAAGUCGAGGGGCAGCACAGGUAGCAAUACUGGGUGGCGACCGGCGCACGGGGUAACGCGUAUGCAACCUACCUUUAACAGGAGGAUAGCCCCGAGAAAUCGGGAUUAAUACUCCAUAUCAUUUAUGAAUCGCAUGGUUUAUAAAUAAAAGUUCCGACGGUUAAAGAUGGGCAUGCGUGACAUUAGCUAGUUGGUGAGGUAACGGCUCACCAAGGCUACGAUGUCUAGGGGUUCUGAGAGGAUUAUCCCCCACACUGGUACUGAGACACGGACCAGACUCCUACGGGAGGCAGCAGUGAGGAAUAUUGGUCAAUGGUCGCAAGACUGAACCAGCCAUGCCGCGUGCAGGAUGAAGGUUCUAUGAAUCGUAAACUGCUUUUCUAAGGGAAGAAACCUAUCCUCGUGAGGGUAGUUGCCGGUACUUUAGGAAUAAGCAUCGGCUAACUCCGUGCCAGCAGCCGCGGUAAUACGGAGGAUGCGAGCGUUAUCCGGAUUCAUUGGGUUUAAAGGGUGCGUAGGCGGAUCAUUAAGUCAGUGGUGAAAUCUUUCGGCUUAACGGUAGAAUUGCCAUUGAUACUGAUGAUCUUGAAUUUAGUUGCUGUGGGUGGAAUGUGUGGUGUAGCGGUGAAAUGCUUAGAUAUCACACAGAAUAUCAAUUGCGAAGGCAGCUCACAAAGCCAUUAUUGACGCUCAGGCACGAAAGCGUGGGGAGCGAACAGGAUUAGAUACCCUGGUAGUCCACGCUGUAAACGAUGAUUACUCGCUGUCGGCGAUAUACAGUCGGUGGCUAAGCGAAAGUGAUAAGUAAUCCACCUGGGGAGUACGAUCGCAAGGUUGAAACUCAAAGGAAUUGACGGGGGCCCGCACAAGCGGAGGAGCAUGUGGUUUAAUUCGAUGAUACGCGAGGAACCUUACCUGGGCUCAAAUGUAGGUUGACAGGUCCUGAAAGGCUGAUUCCCUUCGGGGCUUUCUGCAAGGUGCUGCAUGGUUGUCGUCAGCUCGUGCCGUGAGGUGUCGGGUUAAGUCCCAUAACGAGCGCAACCCCUAUCGUUAGUUGCCAUCAGGUCAUGCUGGGGACUCUAACGAAACUGCCCGCGUAAGCGUGGAGGAAGGGGGGGAUGACGUCAAAUCAGCACGGCCCUUACGUCCGGGGCGACACACGUGUUACAAUGGUAGGUACAGAGGGCAGCUACCCAGCGAUGGGAUGCGAAUCUCUAAAACCUAUCUCAGUUCGGAUCGGAGUCUGCAACUCGACUCCGUGAAGUUGGAUUCGCUAGUAAUCGCGCAUCAGCCAUGGCGCGGUGAAUACGUUCCCGGGCCUUGUACACACCGCCCGUCAAGCCAUGGAAGCUGGGGGUGCCUGAAGUUCGUGACCGCAAGGAGCGACCUAGGGCAAAACUAGUAACUGGGGUUAAGUCGUAACAAGGUAACC
Molecule: ribosomal RNA, 1482 nt
Filed under: uncultured bacterium
Lineage: Bacteria
Description: 16S ribosomal RNA
Rfam family: Bacterial small subunit ribosomal RNA
Source: RNAcentral